The sequence is an unclassified non-coding RNA, 300 nucleotides long. The stretch from base 1 to 46 matches the Rfam family "Eukaryotic small subunit ribosomal RNA", at positions 1786 to 1831 of the family's 1831-position model.
AAGUCGUAACAAGGUCUCCGUAGGUGAACCUGCGGAGGGAUCAUUAACACGUUUUAACAACGUUUCCACACCAACCACGCGAACACUAUGAAAACAAAAACCCCUGAUAAAAGAGAAGAACCUGUCAUGCUUUGCAUUCGUGAUGAGCAGAUAAUAAUUCAGUUUAUUGUUUGCAGUGCAGAGAGACUGUUAAAGCAUAUUUUCAUUAGUAUGACUUUAUGAGGAUCAUCACUUCUAUCAGGUUAAGCCUUUCCGAAAUCUAUUCCUUCUUAUCACUGGAAUGGAAUUUGGAAAACCACU